GUUAUAUGCAUAGAUUGUACAACAUCACGUGUAAAACUAAAAGUAAUUUUGAAGCUGUCAUGAGAAAUAUUUGACAUUGAGGCAACUCCUGCAUCAAUAAUAUAUAAAUAUACAAGAUCUUCCCAUUCUUCCGACGUCAAGCGAAAACCGUCAUAAGUCUCAUACGGUUUUAUUCAACGGCCUUGUGUAAACAUAAUUCAAAUCUACAAAA
This is a non-coding RNA of Paramuricea clavata, 211 nucleotides long. The record is from the annotation of a GenBank genome assembly. Lineage: Eukaryota; Metazoa; Cnidaria; Anthozoa; Malacalcyonacea; Plexauridae.